AGGGUUUGAUCAUGGCUCAGGACGAACGCUGGCGGCAGGCCUAACACAUGCAAGUCGAGCGCACCCUUCGGGGCGAGCGGCGGACGGGUUAGUAACGCGUGGGAAUAUACCCUUCACUACGGAAUAGCCUUUGGAAACGAAGAGUAAUACCGUAUACGCCCUUCGGGGGAAAGAUUUAUCGGUGAAGGAUUAGCCCGCGUUAGAUUAGAUAGUUGGUGGGGUAAUGGCCUACCAAGUCUACGAUCUAUAGCUGGUUUUAGAGGAUGAUCAGCAACACUGGGACUGAGACACGGCCCAGACUCCUACGGGAGGCAGCAGUGGGGAAUCUUAGACAAUGGGCGCAAGCCUGAUCUAGCCAUGCCGCGUGUGUGAUGAAGGCCCUAGGGUCGUAAAGCACUUUCGCUAGGGAUGAUAAUGACAGUACCUAGUAAAGAAACCCCGGCUAACUCCGUGCCAGCAGCCGCGGUAAUACGGAGGGGGUUAGCGUUGUUCGGAAUUACUGGGCGUAAAGCGUACGUAGGCGGAUCAGAAAGUAGGGGGUGAAAUCCCGAGGCUCAACCUCGGAACUGCCUCCUAAACUCCUGGUCUUGAGUUCGAGAGAGGUGAGUGGAAUUCCAAGUGUAGAGGUGAAAUUCGUAGAUAUUUGGAGGAACACCAGUGGCGAAGGCGGCUCACUGGCUCGAUACUGA
This 689-nucleotide ribosomal RNA is filed under the name uncultured bacterium. Its description in RNAcentral is "bacterial SSU rRNA". It matches the Rfam family "Bacterial small subunit ribosomal RNA", at positions 8 to 743 of the family's 1533-position model. The record is from RNAcentral.